This 626-nucleotide long non-coding RNA is filed under the name Equus caballus (horse). RNAcentral describes it as "lncRNA (ENSECAG00000050741.1)". The record is from RNAcentral. Lineage: Eukaryota; Metazoa; Chordata; Mammalia; Perissodactyla; Equidae.
UUUGGCUGGUGUACGUGACUUUUGAGAUUCUGGAGGGUGGUGAGAUCUACUCUUCCUGAGGCCGCCCAGGAGGUUGAGUCCACGAGCACGCCUGAAUAAGCUACAACCUACUUUCCAUCUCAAAGUUGGAUCUCCAGGGAACUCAGCCUACACUAUUGAACACCUCCAUCUGAGAAUACUGCUGAGACCAGCUCAUUGCUGUCUAGUGUUCAGACCCCUCAAACCCUGCUGAAGAGAAAAUCCUGGCCUAUCCUUCAAAGCUUCUGAAGACAGUGUUAAUACUGAUUCAAGAUCAUGAGAGAGAUUGUCCUGUAAUUUUCCUUUCUUUUAACAUCCUUGUCAGAUUUUGGUGUCAACCUACAGUGUGUUUUUAAUCCUUGAAACUUGUUGAGACUUUGUUCAAUGGCCUAGCACAAUGUCAAGUUUUAUAAAUGUUCCAUGACUAUCUGGAAAGAAUAUAUAUUCUGCAAUGUCACUUUAGUGUUCUAUAGUCAAUUUUAUUAAUUGUGUUGUUAAAAUCUUCUCUAUAUCUCCUGGUCUUUUGUUGGUUGGUUCUAGCAGUCACUGAGAGAAAUGAACUAAGGUAUCCUAACAUGAUUGUUCUUUCCAUUUCUCCUUAUAUUUUU